Molecule: ribosomal RNA, 253 nt
Filed under: uncultured prokaryote
Description: partial 16S ribosomal RNA
Rfam family: Bacterial small subunit ribosomal RNA
Source: RNAcentral
UACGAAGGGGGCUAGCGUUGUUCGGAAUUACUGGGCGUAAAGAGCGCGCAGGCGGUCGUACAAGUCGCGUGUGAAAGCCCCCGGCUCAACUGGGGAGGGUCACGCGAUACUGUUCGACUCGAAGGCAGGAGAGGGAAGUGGAAUUCCCGGUGUAGUGGUGAAAUGCGUAGAUAUCGGGAAGAACACCAGUGGCGAAGGCGACUUCCUGGCCUGUUCUUGACGCUGAGGCGCGAAAGCUAGGGUAGCAAACGGG